UUUUGUGUGUGUCACAUAAGGCUACAACCAGUGGGCCAGCCCAUGGUGGCUUUUCCUGGUUCUCGAUAGAAGGGCCCGAGGGUUGUUUUUCCCCUUUGGUUCUACAGCCACCGUUGGUGUUCUGCUUCCUUCCUUUCCUUCUCGCUCCUCCAAUAUCUUUUCCCGCGAUAGGACACGAUUCUAUCAAUAUAUACAUAUAUAAAUACAUAGAUACGGAGAGAGGUUGGAGGGCAGGUGAUUCCGAUUUUGAAAGGGAAUUUAAAGCUGCCAGAGCUAGGGUUAGGGUUUGUGGCUGCAUCACCUCGGAUUGGACUGGCUGGAGGAGAAGAUGGACGUGGAUCCGGUCCCCGCCAAUUCCCAUGGCAACGUCGAAGGGCAGAUCUCGCAGCUCAUGCAGUGCAAGCCGCUCUCUGAGCAAGAGGUUAGAGUUCUUUGUGACAAGGCUAAGGAAAUUUUGAUAGAAGAAAGCAAUGUCCAACCUGUGAAAAGCCCUGUGACAAUAUGUGGUGACAUUCAUGGGCAAUUUCAUGAUCUUGCAGAGCUAUUUCGGAUUGGUGGAAAGUGUCCAGAUACCAAUUACUUGUUUAUGGGAGAUUAUGUAGAUCGUGGGUAUUACUCUGUUGAAACAGUUACGGGUCUGCAAGAAAUAAAGAGUCUGAAUAAAGGUGAUUUCGAGUUGUUCGGCGUUGGUGGAGAGUCUAUUCAGGCCAAAACUCUUUUGGUGGCCCUGAAGGUGCGUUACCCUCAACGCAUUACCAUCCUUAGGGGAAACCAUGAGAGUCGUCAGAUUACACAAGUUUAUGGAUUCUAUGAUGAGUGUUUACGAAAAUAUGGUAAUGCAAAUGUGUGGAAGACAUUCACUGAUCUUUUUGACUAUUUUCCAUUGACAGCAUUGGUUGAAUCAGAAAUAUUUUGCCUUCAUGGUGGUCUGUCUCCACAUGUCGACACUCUUGAUGGUAUACGUAACUUUGAUCGUGUUCAAGAAGUUCCUCAUGAGGGUGCAAUGUGUGAUCUCCUAUGGUCUGACCCAGAUGACCGAUGUGGUUGGGGUAUUUCUCCUCGUGGUGCUGGAUAUACCUUCGGUCAAGAUAUAUCAGAGCAAUUCAAUCAUACCAACAACCUUAAACUAAUAGCUAGAGCUCAUCAAUUAGUCAUGGAGGGAUAUAACUGGGGACAUGAACAAAAGGUUGUCACCAUAUUUAGUGCACCUAACUAUUGCUACCGAUGCGGGAACAUGGCCUCCAUCUUGGAAGUUGAUGACUGCAAAGGACACACAUUCAUCCAGCCAAAUUAGGAUCCAUAAUGCCGGCCCCAAAUUGGUGGGACAGAGGUGGAUUACAUGGUUGCUUUUGGUUAUUAAUCGGUGGCUCCGAGAUUUCUUAUGGGCACAGGCAUCUCAGUUUGAGCCAGCACCAAGGAGAGGAGAACCUGAUGUAACUCGUAGAACACCCGAUUAUUUUCUAUGAUCCUAUUGUUGCAGGCUUAGCUGACAGAGGAAGCAAUUGUAUGCUUGCUAAUUAAUUGGGAACAUGGUUGCAGAUAUUUUUGGAAGAUAAAUUUACAUUUUUUUCCCAAAGAUCCUAUGCUUGAUGGUAUGGGGAUAAAGAUCAGUCUACAUGUGGGUUCCCACUCACUCUGGCUUUCUUUCUGUUUUGCUUCCUUUCUUUUCUUUCUCUAUUUUUUCAACUAAAAUGAUCUUGUAGAGGAAAGGGAUUUAAUUUUCAGUGGGUGAUUUUCUUAUGGGUUGGUUUUAACUAGACUAGUUAUUUUUUCUGGUUCUCACAUCUGUAAGUUUAUAACAAGAUACUAUUGACACGAUCUGGUUCCAGUAUCCUGUGAGUUCCUUUGCUGGUACUCUGAAAAAUUAUUGUGCAUACGAUUCAGUUUGAGCUUUUUUUUUGGUUAUCGAUUGAUGUUGAGGGGAAGUUCUUUAUGGGAUCUCGCUUGACCAGUUUAAUCUACUGAUUUUCCUGUCUCUGGUAAGGCUACAUGUGUUCUUUUUAACUGGAAGCUCAUGUGAUGUGGGGAUUGAAACUUGUCUCCCUACAUAACCCUGGUUCUUUCGAGGGUUUCCACCAGUGGUUUGGUCCUAACCUGUAUCAUACUUGGCUGUCAUCCUGUUAUAACCAAAAGCCCAAGCCCAUCUAGCAAGACCCAAGCC
This is a non-coding RNA of Elaeis guineensis (African oil palm), 2161 nucleotides long. NCBI's taxonomy places the organism in Eukaryota, Viridiplantae, Streptophyta, Magnoliopsida, Arecales, Arecaceae. The record is from RefSeq and is a predicted model, not a curated record.